UGCAAGUCGAACGAUGAAGCUGGAGCUUGCUCCGGCCGAUUAGUGGCGAACGGGUGAGUAACACGUGAGCAAUCUGCCCUUGACUCUGGGAUAACUGCGGGAAACUGUAGCUAAUACCGGAUACUUUCCUCGCUGGGCAUCCAGCGGGGAAGAAAGAAUUUCGGUCAAGGAUGAGCUCGCGGCCUAUCAGCUAGUUGGUGAGGUAAAGGCUCACCAAGGCGACGACGGGUAGCCGGCCUGAGAGGGUGACCGGCCACACUGGAACUGAGACACGGUCCAGACUCCUACGGGAGGCAGCAGUGGGGAAUAUUGCACAAUGGGCGAAAGCCUGAUGCAGCAACGCCGCGUGAGGGAUGAAGGCCUUCGGGUUGUAAACCUCUUUUAGCAGGGAAGAAGCGAAAGUGACGGUACCUGCAGAAAAAGCACCGGCUAACUACGUGCCAGCAGCCGCGGUAAUACGUAGGGUGCAAGCGUUGUCCGGAAUUAUUGGGCGUAAAGAGCUCGUAGGCGGUUUGUCACGUCUGCUGUGAAAAUCCGAGGCUCAACCUCGGACUUGCAGUGGGUACGGGCAGGCUAGAGUGCGGUAGGGGAGAAGGGAAUUCCUGGUGUAGCGGUGGAAUGCGCAGAUAUCAGGAGGAACACCAAUGGCGAAGGCACUUCUCUGGGCCGUAACUGACGCUGAGGAGCGAAAGCGUGGGGAGCGAACAGGAUUAGAUACCCUGGUAGUCCACGCCGUAAACGGUGGGUGCUAGCUGUGGGCCACAUU
RNAcentral lists this ribosomal RNA (766 nucleotides) under uncultured Actinomycetes bacterium. RNAcentral describes it as "bacterial SSU rRNA". It matches the Rfam family "Bacterial small subunit ribosomal RNA", at positions 56 to 833 of the family's 1533-position model. Lineage: Bacteria; Bacillati; Actinomycetota; Actinomycetes. The record is from RNAcentral.